RNAcentral lists this ribosomal RNA (383 nucleotides) under uncultured eukaryote. RNAcentral describes it as "partial 18S ribosomal RNA". It matches the Rfam family "Eukaryotic small subunit ribosomal RNA", at positions 592 to 976 of the family's 1831-position model. The record is from RNAcentral.
CAAUAGCGUAUAUUAAAGUUGUUGCAGUUAAAAAGCUCGUAGUUGGAUUUCUGGUAGGAGUGUCCGUGCCAGACUUGAUUGUCUGUGUAUUGUGUUGUCUCCAGCCAUCCUUGUGGAGAACUUUUCUUGCAUUAAUUUGUAGGGAUUGGGACCCGCAUCGUUUACUGUGAAAAAAUUAGAGUGUUUAAAGCAGGCAAUCGCUUGAAUACAUUAGCAUGGAAUAAUAAGAUAGGACUUUGGUACUAUUUUGUUGGUUUGCAUACCAAAUUAAUGAUCAACAGGAACAGUUUGAGGAUAUUCGUAUGAACAUGUCAGAGGUGAAAUUCUUGGAUUUUGAUCAGACGAACUACUGCGAAAGCAUUUAUCAAGGAUGUUUUCAUUAA